CAAGAUUAGCCAUGCAUGUCUAAGUAUAAGCAACUAUACGGUGAAACUGCGAAUGGCUCAUUAAAUCAGUUAUCGUUUAUUUGAUAGUACCUUACUACAUGGAUAACCGUGGUAAUUCUAGAGCUAAUACAUGCUAAAAACCUCGACUUCGGAAGGGGUGUAUUUAUUAGAUAAAAAACCAAUGCCCUUCGGGGCUCCUUGGUGAAUCAUAAUAACUUAACGAAUCGCAUGGCCUUGCGCCGGCGAUGGUUCAUUCAAAUUUCUGCCCUAUCAACUUUCGAUGGUAGGAUAGUGGCCUACCAUGGUAUCAACGGGUAACGGGGAAUUAGGGUUCGACUCCGGAGAGGGAGCCUGAGAAACGGCUACCACAUCCAAGGAAGGCAGCAGGCGCGCAAAUUACCCAAUCCCGACACGGGGAGGUAGUGACAAUAAAUACUGAUACAGGGCUCUUUUGGGUCUUGUAAUUGGAAUGAGUACAAUUUAAAUCCCUUAACGAGGAACAAUUGGAGGGCAAGUCUGGUGCCAGCAGCCGCGGUAAUUCCAGCUCCAAUAGCGUAUAUUAAAGUUGUUGCAGUUAAAAAGCUCGUAGUUGAACCUUGGGCCUGGCUGGCCGGUCCGCCUCACCGCGUGUACUGGUCCGGCCGGGCCUUUCCUUCUGGGGAACCUCAUGCCCUUCACUGGGCGUGUUGGGGAACCAGGACUUUUACUUUGAAAAAAUUAGAGUGUUCAAAGCAGGCCUUUGCUCGAAUACAUUAGCAUGGAAUAAUAGAAUAGGACGUGUGGUUCUAUUUUGUUGGUUUCUAGGACCGCCGUAAUGAUUAAUAGGGAUAGUCGGGGGCAUCAGUAUUCAAUCGUCAGAGGUGAAAUUCUUGGAUUGAUUGAAGACUAACUACUGCGAAAGCAUUUGCCAAGGAUGUUUUCAUUAAUCAGUGAACGAAAGUUAGGGGAUCGAAGACGAUCAGAUACCGUCGUAGUCUUAACCAUAAACUAUGCCGACUAGGGAUCGGACGGUGUUAGUAUUUUGACCCGUUCGGCACCUUACGAGAAAUCAAAGUUUUUGGGUCUGGGGGGAGUAUGGUCGCAGGCUGAACUAG
Molecule: ribosomal RNA, 1094 nt
Filed under: Cladosporium sp.
Lineage: Eukaryota; Fungi; Ascomycota; Dothideomycetes; Cladosporiales; Cladosporiaceae
Description: SSU rRNA
Rfam family: Eukaryotic small subunit ribosomal RNA
Source: RNAcentral